This 301-nucleotide ribosomal RNA is filed under the name uncultured bacterium. Its description in RNAcentral is "partial 16S ribosomal RNA". It matches the Rfam family "Bacterial small subunit ribosomal RNA", at positions 509 to 807 of the family's 1533-position model. The record is from RNAcentral.
CAGCCGCCGCGGUAACACGAAGGGUGCAAGCGUUAAUCGGAAUCACUGGGCGUAAAGCGUGCGUAGGCGGUGAGUUAAGUCUGCUGUGAAAUCCCCGGGCUCAACCUGGGAAUGGCAGUGGAUACUGGGUCACUAGAGUGUGGUAGAGGAUAGUGGAAUUUCCGGUGUAGCAGUGAAAUGCGUAGAGAUCGGAAGGAACAUCUGUGGCGAAGGCGACUAUCUGGGCCAACACUGACACUGAGACACGAAAGCGUGGGGAGCAAACAGGAUUAGAUACCCCAGUAGUCCCUGUCUCUUAUAC